GUGGGGAAUAUUGGACAAUGGGGGGAACCCUGAUCCAGCCAUGCCGCGUGUGUGAAGAAGGCCUUUUGGUUGUAAAGCACUUUAAGCGAGGAGGAGGCUACCGAGAUUAAUACUCUUGGAUAGUGGACGUUACUCGCAGAAUAAGCACCGGCUAACUCUGUGCCAGCAGCCGCGGUAAUACAGAGGGUGCAAGCGUUAAUCGGAUUUACUGGGCGUAAAGCGCGCGUAGGUGGCCAAUUAAGUCAAAUGUGAAAUCCCCGAGCUUAACUUGGGAAUUGCAUUCGAUACUGGUUGGCUAGAGUAUGGGAGAGGAUGGUAGAAUUCCAUGUGUAGCGGUGAAAUGCGUAGAGAUCUGGAGGAAUACCGAUGGCGAAGGCAGCCAUCUGGCCUAAUACUGACACUGAGGUGCGAAAGCAUGGGGAGCAAACAGGAUUAGAAACCCGGGUAGUCC
RNAcentral lists this ribosomal RNA (451 nucleotides) under uncultured bacterium. RNAcentral's name for it is "bacterial SSU rRNA". It matches the Rfam family "Bacterial small subunit ribosomal RNA", at positions 354 to 796 of the family's 1533-position model. The record is from RNAcentral.